UGAAAUAAUUUAUUUUAUAUCCUCAUCAAAUUCCUUGAAAGUGGAAAAUUCACAUAGUGGAAAAUUAGGUUAGCAGUUACCCAAUUGUCGUGUCUAGCUUUCUUUUCUAUUCUCAAUGGCUCUGAUGACUCUAGGACAUUUGACACCCUAGACUGCUCUUAUUUUUUUUACCUCCCUCAUUUAAAUUAAUUUCACAUACUCAUGGAAUAAAAUACAUAGGCAUCAUAAAACCUUUAUACACAUAUAGCUGUAACUGUCUCUUAGUAAUCCAAAUCAGCAUGGCAUUUUACCCAAAUUCUAGUCCCAUCACUAAAUUGCUUUAUAGUUAUAAUGUAUAUUCACAUUUCAUUUCAUCCUCACUAACUCAUAAGGUAUGUGGAACAAGAAUUGUCCCUAUUUUAUAGCUAAGUAAAUAGGCUCAGGUUGUUACUGCCAAAGGUCACACACAGGUACAUUACCUUGGUAGUAUCACAUGUACUGACACUGCCUUUUCAUGGUUACGAAACUUCAUAUUAGGUGAGUCAUCUCUAUUAGCCUCUUUUUUUUUUUUUUAAUUUAUUUUUGGCUACGUUGGGUCUUCAUUUGCUGCUCGCAGGCUUUCUCUAGUUGUGGCGAGCAGGGGCCACUCUUCAUGGUGACAGGCGGGCUUUUCAUUGCGGUGGCUUCUUGUUGAAGAGCACGGGCUCUAGGCACACAGACUUCAGUAGUUGUGGCACGUGGGCUCAGUAGUUGUGGCUCUCAGGCUAUAGAGCAUAGGCUCAGUAGUUGUGGCACACGGGCUUAGUUGCUCCACGGCAUGUGGGAUCUUCCCGGACCAGGGCUCGAACCUGUGUCCCCUGCAUCGGCAGGCAGAUUCUUAGCCACUGCACCACCAGGGAAGUCCCUAUUAGCCUCUUUAUAUAACUCCCACACGUCCUUUUGUUGCUAAAGACAGGGCCUUUAGCACUAGGCCUCUGCACUAAUGCAGCCCUCACAAGUGGAGCCUACAUGUUCUUCACACUGUCCACAGCAGAGGCUUUGUGGUCUUGGUAUCUUCCAGAUCUGCAUUCUCCAUUUCCACACCUGAUUCUGGGUACUGUUUGAGAAAAUCACACACUUCUAUUGAUUGCACCCCUGUAAACUUAUCUUUGAUUCAACUGAAUCAGCAGAAACCCUGUGCAAUUGUCCUAUUAUAUAUUCAUUCUCUCCCUGUUUUCCUCGUGGUUAAUUUAGAAGGUCAUCAUGCUCCUCAAGCUUGUAUCACUGGUCUCCCCUGCUCUCACAGCAGAUGACCUUGCCUCCCAUUUCAGAUAGGAAUUUUCUACUUCCUGAAUACAAGGAAGGUUUUUGUCAAAACCUUUGAACUUCACAGAACUUCUUUCUGUGAAGUUCUAGGCAUCAUAAAACCUUUUGUCCCUACCUUCAACAAUGUUGUUCUUAAUUCAGAUAUGAUUCAGAAUGUUCAGUUACAUCGAAACGUAGCUCCAGAUGUUACAGAUGCCCCAGCAUGGUCAAUCUAACACCCAUUCCCAACCCCCUUGUCCUCUGCCUCCCUCUCCCAUAGAAAAUGAAAGAUAAAAAUGCUUGCUUUCAUUUCAGUGCAGGAACUUUGCAUUGGGAGCUACACUCCAACAGAACACGUUCACUGCCUAAGUUCUGGAAAUUAUGGCUUUUCUUAUUCAGUUUAUAAGUUUAAUGAAAUUCAGGAUACCUACCUGAAUCAGGCAGGGGUAAUACGUCUGGACCAAGAGAUGACAAAUCUUUCCAGUUUGCGAUAAUAGGGGAAAUCUAUAGAUUUCUGAGUCACCUGCCUAUGGUAUGAGUUGGGGCAUGCCGUAUUGUCUGUAAGACAAGAAUUUCUUGUUCUUUUUACUGCUUAAUGUUGGAAGACAGCCUAAGGGUCUGAUUUCUCUGUUGAUGCUGCUUAACAGAAUCGUAGACACAUUAGCUCUUCUGUGCCUUAAGUUUCCUCAUCUGCAAACUGACCUUAAUUAUAUUAGUCCUUAGGGUUAUUGUGAGGCAUACACAAGUGAAUGUGCUUGGCGUGUUGCCUUGCACUCAGUAAAUCCUUAAAUGUUAGCUAAUUUUGAACUGGUUGGACAGGGCAAUUUGUCAAAUUAACAGUUGGGCAGAUUGCAUGGAAGGGAGAGGACGCUUACUGGAAUGACUUUUUUUAACUGAAGUGAUGUAGUGGGAGAGAAGUGCCUGGAAUUAGAGAUUUAUAUCCAUGACUCAGGUCCAUAAUUCUAAUAACUCACUCAUGAGGUGAUGUCUCAUUCUCUGUUAGUGACCAGGACCAAGAAUCAAUGAAGUACAACCUUCACCAAUGCCAUUUACUUUGAGAGCUUUUUUGAGACGUUUGGUCAAAAGGUUAAAUGGGCACCUAAUUUUCAUAGACUCAUCAUCUAAAUAUGUCUAACUUUUCCAGUAACCUAACAGACAUAGUUUUGUUUUGUUUUGUUUUGUUUUGUUUUUUUGUGGUACGCGGGCCUCUCACCGGUGCGGCCCCUCCUGCCGCGGAGCACAGGCUCCGGACGCGCAGGCCCAGUGGCUACGGCCCACGGGCCCAGCCGUUCCGCGGCACGCGGGAUCCUCCCGGACCAGGGCACGAACCCGUGCCCCCCACAUCGGCAGGCAGAAUCCCAACUGCUGUGCCACCAGGGAAGCCCAACAGACAUAGUUUUUAAUACUGUAUUUACUAGGAUUAUGCCAGCCCUAACCAACUUGUCCUGAACCUUUGAGGGUAAUCUCAAGAAAGGAGACAUAUCAAUAUGGAAAUACAUGCAUUAGAGGCAGUUUAGAGUAGGAAAUGUUUAGGAGGUUGGCUCCAGCCCACCACUAUUCCCUGUCCCAGAAAGAUUUAUCUGUAGGCUUAAUCCAGGUUAUAGCAGAGUCCACCUGUAAGCUUCUUACCUCACAAUGGUUGCUAACUUGUCUUGAGUAAUAUUCAGUAGUUAUAGGGCUAAAGAAUGUUGGUUCUGGAAACCAGCACCUCAUAUAAUUCUUGGAUGGGGCAUGUGUGAUAUAAGAAAAUAUCACUAUGCUAGCCAAACAAACACUGUAUGCUGUGUACACAGGUUAGAGACUGGGAAGAGAUCUAUGAGAAGACUUUUAACUUACAAGCCUCCUGAAUCAGACUAGGUUCAUUUGCCCAACUCGCAGCAAGCCAAAUGCUGAGACGCCAAGGUUUGCAGCAGAGAAACGAUUUAUACACAAGGCAGCCAAGCGAGGAGACGGGAGAACAAGUCUUAAAUCCACUUUCAUGAAGCUCUGAAGUUUUGACACCCUUUCUCCACAUGGAAGUUGUUCCUCACCAAUCAAACUUGGAGAACCCACCCUUUGAGCUAAUAGAUUUCCAUAUUAAAUUCAUCUGGGCCAAGGACCCCAUCUUAUACUUCUGCAUCCAUCAUAGCACCAAGUACAAUGUAAAG
Long non-coding RNA from Orcinus orca (killer whale), 3410 nucleotides. RefSeq lists it as uncharacterized. The record is from RefSeq and is a predicted model, not a curated record. Lineage: Eukaryota; Metazoa; Chordata; Mammalia; Artiodactyla; Delphinidae. The transcript has 3 exons.